Molecule: non-coding RNA, 319 nt
Organism: Pelobates cultripes (western spadefoot toad)
Lineage: Eukaryota; Metazoa; Chordata; Amphibia; Anura; Pelobatidae
Source: the annotation of a GenBank genome assembly
CUCAAUAACAAGUAAAGUUUAACCCCUUACUAGCAGGGGAAAAGCGACCGCUUAAGCUGUUUUAUUAUUAUUUUGUAAUGGAGUAGGGUUAGAAGUAUGGUUAGAGGUAGGGUAGGGUUGAGUUAGGAGUAGGGUUAAGUUUAGGGUUAUGGUAGGGUUAGGAGUACGGUUAGGGUUACCCUACCCUAACCCUACUCCAACCACUAACCUAACCCCUAACCCUACCCCAACACUCUCCUGUUUUGCCACUUUUAAAAAAUCCAAAGCACUUCGGUUCAGCAUUCCAAAAUUCUGCACUUCUGACAUUCGGAAGCAUCCG